AGACGGUGCUGUCAGACGCCCUCGGGGUCAAAGGUGAGGUACGGAAGGAGCGCCGGCUGUUUCUUAUUGGUCAGACAAGAGUUCACCUGGACACAGUGGAGGGACUGGGACACUACAUGGAACUGGAGGUGGUGAUGCGACCGCAGCAGACGGUUGAGGAGGGACAACAGGUGGCUGAGGGUCUGAUGGAGCAGCUCGGCGUUUCACAGGAGAGUCUGGUGACCGGAGCGUACGUGGAUCUGUUACUGAAGGGACCAAGAGAGACGUAAAACAACACACACAGGAACCGUAUUUAGACCAAACAAUACAAUGGUCAUUACUGUAACUACACUAAUAGUGGCUCUGCUGUCGUAUCUUUAGAGUCGUUAGUCUUUGUUUCCCAUCGUCUCAGACUGGGAACAAGUUUGUUAGCUCAAAGCAGCAGGAGGAUGUUUUUCUUUCUAAAUAAAUGAGCUGAGUGUUGAAACAAA
Non-coding RNA from Paralichthys olivaceus (Japanese flounder), 470 nucleotides. NCBI's taxonomy places the organism in Eukaryota, Metazoa, Chordata, Actinopteri, Pleuronectiformes, Paralichthyidae. The record is from RefSeq and is a predicted model, not a curated record.